Molecule: long non-coding RNA, 524 nt
Organism: Panicum virgatum (switchgrass)
Lineage: Eukaryota; Viridiplantae; Streptophyta; Magnoliopsida; Poales; Poaceae
Exons: 2
Source: RefSeq, a predicted model, not a curated record
UCUGUGCAAACAAAAAAAUGAUUCUUUCGUUUAGCUCAUGUGGAAGUGCUCCAUUUACAUAUAUGAUAGGUGAAGGAUAAAACAGACAUGAUUACCAUUUAUUUCUGAUAUUCUCAAUGGCUACUCAAGUGUUUGGUUGCUGUUUUUUUCUUCUCAUACAAGAUUUCCCAUUGCAUCUGUAUUUAAUUGUAUGUUUCCCAUUUAAGGCUAGAGCAGGAGUAGAGAUGGCACUGAUUGACGCAAUUCCUAACAGCAUUCGCAUCCCUGUGUGGAAAUUAUUUGGAGGGGCAUCAGAUACUGUGACUACAGACAUAACGAUUCCAAUCGUGGCCCCAAAUGAAGCUGCACAAUUGGCCGCAAAAUAAUGAGUGCAAGGGUUUCAAACGCUGAAGCUCAAGUUUGGGAAAAACUUGAACUCGGAUAUACAAGUUUGGAAAAACGGUUUGUACUCCUGCAAACUCUGUGCUACUAUAUGAAAUCGCCUUUUGAUCUUUCCUCAAUAUUUCGAAUUUAUUAGCUGUUCA